UACGUAGGGGGCAAGCGUUGUCCGGAUUUAUUGGGCGUAAAGAGCGUGUAGGCGGCUGGGUAGGUCCGUUGUGAAAACUCGAGGCUCAACCUCGAGACGCCGAUGGAAACCCUCCAGCUAGAGUCCGGAAGAGGAGAGUGGAAUUCCUGGUGUAGGGGUGAAAUGCGCAGAUAUCAGGAAGAACACCCGUGGCUAAGGCGGCUCUCUAGUACGGUACUGACGCUGAGACGCGAAAGCGUGGGGAGCGAACAGG
Molecule: ribosomal RNA, 253 nt
Filed under: uncultured bacterium
Lineage: Bacteria
Description: partial 16S ribosomal RNA
Rfam family: Bacterial small subunit ribosomal RNA
Source: RNAcentral